GUCCACGCCGUAAACGAUGAGAACUAGCUGUUGGGUGCUUUAAGCACUUAGUGGCGCAGCUAACGCGUUAAGUUCUCCGCCUGGGGAGUACGGCCGCAAGGUUAAACUCAAAGGAAUUGACGGGGCCGCACAAGCGGUGGAGCAUGUGGUUUAAUUCGAUGCAACGCGAAAACCUUAACCUACCCUUGACAUCCUUGGGAGCCUCUAGAGAUAGAGGUGUGUCUUCGGAAACCAAGAGACAGGUGCUGCAUGGCUGUCGU
This 260-nucleotide ribosomal RNA is filed under the name uncultured bacterium. RNAcentral's name for it is "partial 16S ribosomal RNA". It matches the Rfam family "Bacterial small subunit ribosomal RNA", at positions 793 to 1055 of the family's 1533-position model. The record is from RNAcentral.